Molecule: ribosomal RNA, 140 nt
Filed under: Escherichia coli O111:NM str. K6728
Lineage: Bacteria; Pseudomonadati; Pseudomonadota; Gammaproteobacteria; Enterobacterales; Enterobacteriaceae
Description: partial 23S ribosomal RNA
Rfam family: Bacterial large subunit ribosomal RNA (bases 1-122)
Source: RNAcentral
UUCUCCCUGACUCCUUGAGAGUCCUGAAGGAACGUUGAAGACGACGACGUUGAUAGGCCGGAUGUGUAAGCGCAGCGAUGCGUUGAGCUAACCGGUACCAAUGAACCGUGAGGCUUAACCUUACAACGCCGAAGGUGUUU